Molecule: non-coding RNA, 243 nt
Filed under: Anaerotignum neopropionicum
Lineage: Bacteria; Bacillati; Bacillota; Clostridia; Lachnospirales; Anaerotignaceae
Description: Clostridium neopropionicum T-box sequence
Rfam family: T-box leader
About the family: Uncharged tRNA acts as the effector for transcription antitermination of genes in the T-box leader family. T-boxes are found upstream of many aminoacyl-tRNA synthetase genes and some amino acid biosynthetic genes usually in Gram-positive bacteria.
Source: RNAcentral
AUAAAACCGAUGAGGGAGAAAAGUACUUUCAAGAAGAAACAACAGAGAGCUGCCGAGGGUGGAACGGCGGUGUGGAUUUUUGAGAGGAAUGGCCUCCUGAGGGCGCGCAGAACGGUUAGUAUGCAAGCCGGAGCGGAUACUCCGUUAUCAACGAGGACAUAUGUUAGUAUGUCAUGAGAGGGUACAUUUUUUGUACCAAGCCGGGUGGCACCGCAGGAGUGAAUAUUUGCUCUUGUCCCUGCA